UACAGAGGUGGCAAGCGUUGUUCGGAAUUACUGGGCGUAAAGGGCGCGUAGGCGGCCCGUCAAGUCCCGUGUGAAAGCCCCCGGCUCAACCGGGGAACGGCGCGGGAAACUAGCAGGCUUGAGUUCGGGAGAGGGAAGCGGAAUUCCUGGUGUAGCGGUGAAAUGCGCAGAUAUCAGGAGGAACACCGGUGGCGAAGGCGGGUCUCUGGGCCGAUACUGACGCUGAGGAGCGAAAGCGUGGGGAGCAAACAGG
RNAcentral lists this ribosomal RNA (253 nucleotides) under uncultured bacterium. RNAcentral's name for it is "partial 16S ribosomal RNA". It matches the Rfam family "Bacterial small subunit ribosomal RNA", at positions 524 to 776 of the family's 1533-position model. The record is from RNAcentral.